CAGAUAAUUUCUAGUAAAAAAAACCAAAGAAACACAUUUUGUUCGAAAAUCGACAGGGAAGGAUUAAAAAAGGUUAUAACCGAUUUGACUCUAAAAUGAACAGAAAACCUAUUUAUUUGCAUUUUUCAAUUCUCGAAGAAAUCCGUGUUCAAGAUGAACAUUUUUUCAAAAUAUGCUCCCAAUUCAAUUUUUUUAUUGGUUCAGGAUCAUUCAAAAAAUAGUAAAAAAGCUUAUUGACAAAUUUUUUUACAAUUUAUGGGAGUGCCACAAUAGAAAAGGAACAGAUUAGACCGUAUAAUAAUCUGUGUAUUAGGAUUGGAUAAAAGAAUUCUUACGUCGACUGUUCUAUUUUCCAUUUUCAUUUUGAAAGUCAAUUAGGUAAAUGGAAAGAUCAAUAGAAGCUAAAAUUAAGCUAGUAAAAUAAACCAUUGAAAUAAAAUAACCGUCACUUGCUUUAACAACCCCUGCAAUGAAAUUUAUCUACUAAACUUACCCUAUGUCGCCCAAACCCUAAAUUGAAAAAAACAAUUAGAACUAGGUAUAUGAAUUUUGCUGCCAAAAUAUUAAAUUAUAUAAUUUAUCAAACCGACCGUGAAAAAAUAAAUUUUAGUGCGCCCAUGACAUGCCAAGCUCAAACAGCAAUGCUCAAUGACAUCUGAAUUUGACAAGUCAGUUAAAUUCAGAUGUCAAUGUCAACCCAAUAAAACAAUAAUAUAAUUCACCUUGAGAAAUUAUUAUUAUUUUUUAACUAAUAUUUAUUGGAAAACUUCAACACAAAUUAUUUGCUAAAUAAAACUGAUGAAAAUCUCAUAACUUCAUUCAAGUUCGCAUCUAUUUUGCCUGUGUGGCCUUUGUUUUGUGUACCUAGAAUUAUUACAAGGAGAAGAAUUGCAUGUUUUAACUGCUGAUUAGACUACACAACCAGAAAUAAAUAAGCUAAAUGAAGUAUGUUAGGAUACCCCAGAGAUCAUGAAAUGUGUUUGAUAGGGCUCAGACCAUGCACUUAAGGACAUCCGUCAAGAAAUCAUUGAGAUUCUACCAUAUUGAUGAAAUUGGGAAACCAGGAAGUACUGCCUGUCUUUACUGUUGGUUAGAGUACACAGCCAGAAAUAAAUAAGCUACAGGAAGUAUGUUAGGAUUCCCCAGAGAUCAUGAAAUGUGUUUGAAGGAAUAUGAAUCAGCUUUUUUGUUAUCUUGAAUAGGCAAAAUGGCACGAGAAUCUUCCAACUGGACCCAAAGUCUCUAUUUUUGGUUAGAAAAUAAAACUUAUUUAAUGUUUAUGUUCCAUGACCUGCUUAUUGUUUUAUUAAAUUUUGUCAUACAGUUAUUUAGUUUUAAUAAUUAAAGAGAAAGUUGUUGUUG
RNAcentral lists this long non-coding RNA (1362 nucleotides) under Anthonomus grandis grandis. RNAcentral's name for it is "uncharacterized LOC126750035". Lineage: Eukaryota; Metazoa; Arthropoda; Insecta; Coleoptera; Curculionidae. The record is from RNAcentral.